Molecule: ribosomal RNA, 497 nt
Filed under: uncultured Chryseobacterium sp.
Lineage: Bacteria; Pseudomonadati; Bacteroidota; Flavobacteriia; Flavobacteriales; Weeksellaceae
Description: partial 16S ribosomal RNA
Source: RNAcentral
CACGGAGUUAGCCGGUGCUUAUUCGUAUAGUACCUUCAGCUACUCUCACGAGAGUAGGUUUAUCCCUAUACAAAAGAAGUUUACAACCCAUAGGGCCGUCGUCCUUCACGCGGGAUGGCUGGAUCAGGCUCUCACCCAUUGUCCAAUAUUCCUCACUGCUGCCUCCCGUAGGAGUCUGGUCCGUGUCUCAGUACCAGUGUGGGGGAUCACCCUCUCAGGCCCCCUAAAGAUCAUUGACUUGGUGAGCCGUUACCUCACCAACUAUCUAAUCUUGCGCGUGCCCAUCUCUAUCCACCGGAGUUUUCAAUAUUCAAUGAUGCCAUCAAAUAUAUUAUGGGGUAUUAAUCUUCCUUUCGAAAGGCUAUCCCCCUGAUAAAGGUAGGUUGCACACGUGUUCCGCACCCGUGCGCCGCUCUCAAGAUUCCGAAGAAUCUCUACCGCUCGGCUUGCAUGUGUUAGGCCUCCCGCUAGCGUUCAUCCUGAGCCAGGAUCAAACU